Molecule: long non-coding RNA, 306 nt
Filed under: Vigna radiata
Lineage: Eukaryota; Viridiplantae; Streptophyta; Magnoliopsida; Fabales; Fabaceae
Description: long non-coding RNA (VRAD_LNC008448)
Source: RNAcentral
AUUGGUUUUUCUAGAAUGCAAAAUCCUUGAGUCAAGAGAGCUAACAAAAUAUUCAACAUUUAAGCACAACUCUCUCACCAAUAUCUCUCAUUCCCAACUUCUUCCCCUUUCUUUUCUUUUUCAUUGAGCUCGUCUUCAUGCUUUUCUUCUUUUCUUUUCUUUUUCUCAUCAAUUUUUCUCUUUUCACAACAAUUGAGCUCAAUGCCUUUUACUUGCUUUUUCAAUUUUCCCCCGUACAAUCCCAAACUUGAACCUUUUCAUCGCAUACAAUUAAACUCAUCCCAACUCAAGGUAAAGAUUUACAAG